AGAGUUUGAUCGUGACUCAGAAUCAACGCUGGCGGCGUGCCUAACACAUGCAAGUCGAACGAGAAAGGGGAGCAAUCGCCAAGUAAAGUGGCGACCGGGUGAGUAACACGUGACUAACCUACCCUCGAGUGUGGAAUAACAUCGGGAAACCGAUGCUAAUACCGCAUAAUAACGCAAGAUCAAAGGAGCAAUCGACUUGAGGAGGGGGUCGCGACUGAUUAGCUAGUUGGCGGGGUAACGGCCCACCAAGGCGAAGAUCGGUAUCGGGCCUGAGAGGGCGCACGGACACACUGGAACUGAAACACGGUCCAGACUCCUACGGGAGGCAGCAGUGGGGAAUUUUGCGCAAUGGGGGAAACCCUGACGCAGCAACGCCGCGUGGAGGAUGAAGCCCCUUGGGGCGUAAACUCCUUUCGACCAAGACGAUAAUGACGGUACUGGUGGAAGAAGCACCGACUAACUCUGUGCCAGCAGCCGCGGUAAUACAGAGGGUGCAAGCGUUGUUCGGAAUUAUUGGGCGUAAAGGGCGCGUAGGCGGCGCGACAAGUCACCUGUGAAAUCCCCGGACUUAACUCGGGGCCUGCAGGCGAAACUGUCGUGCUGGAGUAUGGGAGAGGUGCGUGGAAUUCCCGGUGUAGCGGUGAAAUGCGUAGAUAACGGGAGGAACACCUGUGGCGAAAGCGGCGCACUGGACCAUAACUGACGCUGAGCGCGAAAGCUAGGGGAGCAAACAGGAUUAGAUACCCUGGUAGUCCUAGCCCUAAACGAUGAUUGCUUGGUGUGGUGGGUACCCAAUCGCACUGUGCCGUAGCUAACGCGAUAAGCAAUCGGCCUGGGAGUACGUCGCAAGCUGAAACUCAAAGAAUUGACGGGGCCCGCACAAGCGGUGGAGCAUGUGGUUCAAUUCGACGCAACGCGAAGAACCUUACCUGACUCGA
RNAcentral lists this ribosomal RNA (938 nucleotides) under uncultured bacterium. Its description in RNAcentral is "bacterial SSU rRNA". It matches the Rfam family "Bacterial small subunit ribosomal RNA", at positions 8 to 984 of the family's 1533-position model. The record is from RNAcentral.